CCUACGGGGCGCAGCAGUGAGGAAUAUUGGUCAAUGGACGGAAGUCUGAACCAGCCAUGCCGCGUGCAGGAAGACGGCUCGAUGAGUUGUAAACUGCUUUUGUACAAGGGGAAACCUGAAUACGUGUAUGCAGCUGAAAGUACGGUACGAAUAAGGAUCGGCUAACUCCGUGCCAGCAGCCGCGGUAAUACGGAGGAUCCAAGCGUUAGCCGGAUUUAUUUGGGUUAAAGGGUGCGUAGGCGGAUUGAUAAGUUAGAGGUGAAAUGUCCGGGCUUAACUCGGGAAAUGCCUCUCAUACUGGUGAUCUCGAGCGUAGCUGCGGUAGGCGGAAUG
RNAcentral lists this ribosomal RNA (333 nucleotides) under uncultured bacterium. RNAcentral describes it as "partial 16S ribosomal RNA". It matches the Rfam family "Bacterial small subunit ribosomal RNA", at positions 338 to 668 of the family's 1533-position model. The record is from RNAcentral.